GGGGACGUAACAAAGCGACCCAGGAAUGCUUGGGCGUGCCUCCACCCACGCCGGCGUCGGCGGGCGUAUUUCGCCUCACAGUAGGUCGCCGCGACCCGUUGCUUUUGGGGACGUCGAAGGCCCGGACGGAUUGGUACCCUACCGGCUGGGGAUGCGGCUUCGGCUUCUCCUCUUGUCCGGUGGGCGAAACCGCCGGUGUCCUGGCUGCCCUGCGACGGUCGUAGAGACGAGCCCUUCCCAUUCGUGGGGGGUGGCUCUCGCGGCGUGCAAAAGGUCGGUGAUCCACCCGACCCGUCUUGAAACACGGACCAAGGAGUCUAACAUGUGUGCGAGUCAGUGGGCGCACUAAACCCAGAGGCGUAAUGAAAGUGACACGGGUUCGGCUGUCGCCUCGUGUGGCAGCCGGACUCAGGGCCGAUCCCUCACCGGUUGGCCUCGCCUCUCUCCCGCGUCUCGGUAAGCCGGGUGAGCUAUUUUCCCCGGCCAAUGCUGCGGGGCUCGGGGGGAGGCGGGGUGCGAUGGUGUCCGUAAAAAAGAGCCUGCUGUUGCAGGGGGGCGCAGGCCCGGGACUUGCCAGGACGCCGCGAGACUGUCACUUUGCUGUGAGGCUCUAGGGCCGAUCAGCGGGUCAUGCGUGCAGUCGGCAAGUACCAUGAGCAGACAUGUUGGGACCCGAAAGAUGGUGAACUAUGCCUGGCCAGGAUGAAGCCAGAGGAAACUCUGGUGGAGGUCCGUAGCGAUUCUGACGUGCAAAUCGAUCGUCGGAGCUGGGUAUAGGGGCGA
RNAcentral lists this ribosomal RNA (783 nucleotides) under Procambarus liberorum. Its description in RNAcentral is "eukaryotic LSU rRNA". The stretch from base 308 to 783 matches the Rfam family "Eukaryotic large subunit ribosomal RNA", at positions 665 to 926 of the family's 3401-position model. The record is from RNAcentral. Lineage: Eukaryota; Metazoa; Arthropoda; Malacostraca; Decapoda; Cambaridae.